Molecule: unclassified non-coding RNA, 316 nt
Filed under: Onobrychis saravschanica
Lineage: Eukaryota; Viridiplantae; Streptophyta; Magnoliopsida; Fabales; Fabaceae
Description: partial external transcribed spacer
Source: RNAcentral
UGUUUGUCCCAAGUUCCUGUGUUGCCUACCUUACGAAAGGCACUCUUGUGGCUUUGUAGACUUUAUCCGUUCCAACCUCCCUUGGUGGGUUGCGAAGGGCUUUUGAGGUGAAAUACGUGGUUGCCCAUUUAGUCACGCUUGAUGCCGACUACUUUGGUGCACAUGUACUAAUCGUGUUCCUGGAUGCGGUGCAUGAAGCGAACGCGGGUGCUUUUCCCAAUGCGUCCCUUAUUAUUUGGUUGCCUCAAAUGAUGCCUGCCUUCAUGCGUGGUUUGUGGCUCAUAUUAAUGGGUCCAAAGAUUGCAUGAUGUGCAGA